This is a non-coding RNA of Bos taurus (domestic cattle), 72 nucleotides long. NCBI's taxonomy places the organism in Eukaryota, Metazoa, Chordata, Mammalia, Artiodactyla, Bovidae. The record is from Rfam.
UUCUCUGCAGUCCAGUGGUCAGGACUUGGCACUCUCACAGCUAGGGCCUGGGUUCAGUUCCUAGUUGGGGAA